Long non-coding RNA from Trachymyrmex cornetzi, 1832 nucleotides. RefSeq lists it as uncharacterized. The transcript has 2 exons. Lineage: Eukaryota; Metazoa; Arthropoda; Insecta; Hymenoptera; Formicidae. The record is from RefSeq and is a predicted model, not a curated record.
GGUUUAUUGGAGAGUUGACAGUUGAAGAUUAAAGAAGUUAUAAGAUGAAAGAUAAGCUGUUUAUGAAAUAAGAAAUCUAUAUGUCACUUUUAACAUAAUUUUAACCUUAUUUAUCGAAAAAUACCUUGUACGUUUGUUUGCUGUUGUAAAAUCAUACUGUAUGCUUCUGUUUGGUAUUCCAGUGAUGAGAUCGUCACAAUAAUUGCUGGAACAAUGAACUCGUUUGAGAUACACAUUUAUCAUGUAAAAUCACUACGUAACAAUUGAUAUUUUCAUUGCGCAUGACGUUUAUACAACGAGAUAUCUUUCCGAUGUAACUUAACGUGUAAUGUUUCCUGCUUUUUCGCACGUUGUAUAAUUGUUGACGAUCUUUCUCUCUUUUGAAUACCAGAGCCUUUGUGCAUAUUAUUAGUACUACUAUCUUUUACAUAUUUGCGUACCAGCUUGUUUUGUAUCCUUUAAAUUAUUUAACCGUGAAUAGUAUGAUUAGUGAUUCGAGUUAAGAUAUAAAUGCGUGCCUUAAAGGGCUACGAAAUCACAUAAACGUAUUUUGAUUGACGUUUAAGGCAGACAGAUACUUUGUUAACUCGAUAGAAAUACGAUAUAAGAAAAGUUCUUCAUACUGUAGAUUAUACAAUUUGUUUAUGUUACUCAGUUUACUUCCUUUUUUCUUUUCAAAUCUUAAGUUGUUAUACUCUAUAAGUACACGAAUCUCCCAAAUUUUCAUUUAAUCUCGAUGCCACUGGCGUCUCAAUGGAAAGGAGGAGAAGUUCAUCAGUUAAAUUAAUAUGUUUAAUAAAAUUACUUUUUCAUCGUCGUAUUACGCGCUUCUUAGUGUUCGGGACAUAACAAGAAAAUUCAAUUUGCAAUAAAGACGACGAGAAACCGAAACCCGGUUCGAGGUACUAGUUAAAAAUAAAGUUUUGUUGAAUUAUUUUCGACGCAAACGCUUUCAUUCAACGGAACCUCAAGUCGUGCAAUGAAUGCAAAUGAUUAUACUGCAUGUCCUGCGACACACAUACACACGCAAGAAAUACAAAGCUGUGAACGGGACUAGAAUAGAGAAAAGUAGAAAAAAAAAAGAAAUGUCAUUGAUUGUGAAAUAUCGCCUCUGUGAUAUUUUACAAUCAGCUGUUUAGCCGCGACUGAGACCCUUAUCGGUAACUAUUUAAGCGAUGUAAUAGCCUCAUGUAAAUAAUAAUUUCGUUAGAGCGAAAAUAACCAAACGGGUCGAGACGGAAGAUUUACAACGGAUGAAAACUAAAGAUAGUAUAGCACUGAGCACUCAAGCUAAAUGAAUAAUGUGAACAAUGUGAUAUAAAUGAUAAAUAAAAGAUUAAUUAGCACAGUAGCGUUUAAGGAGAAAAAAAUCAACUAUUAAAUCAUUUACAGUGUAGAUGCUGGUAACUAUCAUUUACUAAUAUCUUAAAAAAAAAGAGAAAGAAGGUCAAAAAUUGAAUUGUACAUAGAAAAUAUGAAGAAGAGAAAAAGAACGAAAAAGGGAUUGUAAGAUAGUGUAUAAAUAUUGAAUUUAUUGAAGAAAAAAGGGAAAAGGAGAGGAGGAAAGAAAAGAAAGAACGAAUAUAACGUGAUGGACUGUGCCGGAUGAAACGCUUGUCAUGUUGGUAGUAAAAAUCGCCGACACCGCGAGUAUCCUAUAAAUAACAGAAUCUACAAAUUGUAUUAGAACGGCAACGUAUUAGAAUGACGGAUUAAGUGUGCAUGAGACUGCAUGUUGAAAGUACGCAUGUGAGAAAAGUGUGUAGUAAAAACGUUAUUAUUGUUGUAGUCUAUAUCGAAUUUUGUUAUAUGCCUCGACUAACAUGCAAAAC